GUUCACAAUCUCUCUCUCUCUCUCACCUCAAUUAACCACAAGGGGCUUGCCCUUUCCCUCCCUCUCUCUCUCUACAUUCAGAUCUCUCUCUCUCUCUCUACGUAUACGACGACUUCUCUGAUACACAGUUGCGGUGGUCUCUAAUUCGCUUGGUGCAGGUCGGGACAGCUUCGCUGGUGGCGGCGGCAAUUGAUUUUGCGUGCGAAUAUAUAUAUAUAUAUAUAUAUAUAUAUAUAUAUAUAUUUUAAGUUGGAGGCGAAUACAGUCCCGCCUUGCAUCAACUGAAUCGGAGACCGCGGCGAAUUACAAGUGGCUUGGGCUUGGUUUCAGAUCUAGGCCUGUUGCGAUUCGAAUCUGUCGUGGAUUCUAAGAUUUGUGUGCACUUCUUUUCGGCAUAUGACGUCUCAAACUGACUAAUUGGAUAUUUGGUGGUGUAAGAAAUAGCGCAGUCAUUUUGAUAGUGUAUUGAACGAAAGGUUAGAAGCUUCGCUUUUUUUCCAUCUUUGUACAUACUUAUUUUUCUUCACCUGACUUUUCAAACUGGCCCAUGUUAUAACGUUGAUGCAAUUAAUGGUAAAUAGUGCUUUCUAUUUCGAAUAAGUUGAAGGAUUUAUUAAUCAGGUCGCUGUCUGCCAUGUUUGUGCUUUACUUCUCUAUUGCAUGACUUAUUAAACUGACACAUUGGAAUUUGGAUGAUUGUUGAUGCAAGAAAUGGAAACUAAUGCAAACUAGAGUUUGGGUGCACGUGAAAAAUCAUCACUCUACGUUGGCAUGCAUUGUCCAUGAACAAAGACCGUAACCCUAUAUUUUAAUUUAGAUCAACAAGAAUCCGCAUCAUGUCAUCAGGAAUGCUCCAUGCCAUUUCAAUUUGCUAUUCCUCUACUGUUUUUAGUGUUUUUUUUGCAAACAGGAAAAUAAAUCUAGGAAAAUAAAUUUUGCACGCAUUCUUUGGCGCAAAAAACUAGGCUAGGAUAGAUCCAAAGAGAAAAAGAAGAUGGGCAGGACCCAUAUCUAAGGACAUGAAAACUGAAUUCGUAAGAUUUUUUGUUUUGUAAACUGCUGUUGGAUGUGUAGGCAGCUGUAGGAUGAUAAUGUUUGCAACUGUGGUGCUAAUUUACUUCGUUGUCCUGACAGUCUGUUCAUGCCACAUUAAUACUAAUUGUAUAAACUUUUGUUUUCUUGGACCAAAGCGAAAAUCAACUUUGUGACACAGCUUCACAAAAGUGUUCACACCAUAAUGGGUAGUCCCUUUCUUUAUUAGAAUGGAUGGAGCGAACUUGGACCCCUCGCUGGAGUAUCUAUACUUUUUUGGUAAGCUGAUUUCGUUAGGAAUCAAACAAACCAAACAAUAUGGACCAAGGUAUAGCCAUGCGAGUCCCUGAAACCCCAAAACAAAACACCACUAGAAUAAAUAAGAAGAAAACAAAAAUCAAAAUACAGCAGCAGCAUAAACUACACAAGAAUCUGAUACCUCUGAAUCUUCCAAAGACCAGCCAACACCAGGAUGCAAACCUGUCCACCAAGGCCAACACAGCACACGGGGCUCAGCUGUCAUUCCCAAGGACCCUUCGAGGCAUAUUCCUCUAUGUACAAGCUUGUUCUCAGUUGAUUGGGGAAUUGUACUCCAUGAGGAGAGAUAGGCCCUGAUAUGGCUUUCUAGUUUCAGAAUCACUUCUUCAAUAUCAUUUGGGUUCUAUUGAAAAAUUCUAAGGUUUCUCUCACUCCGGCCGUAGUAUAUAGAGCCAGAGAGAGAGAGCCUGAAACUGGUGGCUCUCGAAGACUUGCUUCCAACCAUAUGAUUAGCCCUAUUCACAAUUUCCAAGGUCCAGAGGAGCUCUACUAUCCAGUCUCAUCUGUGCAUAUGGCGCCAUAACUGAGAAGAGAAAGGACACCCAAUGAGAAGAUUGCUAUGAGAUUUCUGAGAACCUGUGCAAAGGACAUACUCAGCAUCAGUUGUAAAUUGUAAGUCUCCAAGUUGGCAGCCUGUCUUUAGUGGGGAACCAUCCUCGAAUCGCCAUCCAUUGAGUAGACGCUUGAAGUAGAGGUUGAACCAAGGCACAUCAGGCUUUUCCUUUCUAAUGGCAUUCCAAGCAGACAGAGUACUAUAUUCCCAAUUGAUGGCUCACCAGUCACCACUUUGUCUGGUAUAACAAUUUUGGCUUAGGUAGUGCUCCCCACUUGCAACCCCCUCCCCCCUCUAACUUUGAUUCUUAUAGGUUGUCAAAGCUAUACAGUGACAAUUGUGCUUUACCGCCUGUGUUUCGAUUGAGGUAUACAGCUCUAUUUAUUUCACCAAUGAUCCUUUAGUCAGCUAUUUGUUUUUUUUUUUUUUAUGAAGGUCAAGAGGGUAAUUUCACUUACCAACUCACCUAGGCAAUUGCUGACUAGGAAGAGGUUCAGUGAAUCCUUUAAACACACACACCGAAAACCCAAACUCUCGAUGUGGGAGCCAGCCCAACUGACGCAGGCCUAAGAGCCUCGCCAUGGAUUGCAGCACUAUGACAGACGGGCCCAAGGGGCUUGCACCAGAGGUCGGACACCACCACAACGGGUAGUAUUGUUAUGCAUUUUGUUUGAGUUUUAUCUUUGAGCAUAUGGGAAAAAAGUAAUUGCAGUUGUUUUGUUCUUUAUGGUGCCAAAUGAGGAGCAUAUAUUGGAGCACAUUAGUAUUUGACUAACUAUUGAGUUUGAAUAAUGGUGCUAAGAGCAUGUCUCUGCUGAAUAAAAUGCUUUGUACUCAUAUGAGGAGUUGGCCCAAUAUCAUCACGUGGUGUACAAUGCUCCCCUCAUGAGCAUGGAGUAGUUCAUUUGUAGGAUUGGGCUUUAAUUUCGGGAUGGUUCUACAUCAACAUGUCAACAAAUUUGCUGUCUCCUUUGGUGGUUAUUUUCUAAAUAAAUGCCUUUUAUUGCAGUUUUUUUAUGGGUUGAACAUGUUCAAAUUCUGAAAAUCAAACCAACUGGGGCUAGCUCAGUUGGUCAGGAUACUUGAAUUUCAUUAGGAGUUAGAAGUUCGAGUCUCUCCACCUGCGUGUGGGUGCUCUUUCCGUAGAGGGUUUUUCUUUCUUUCUACCUACCCUAUAAUAAUGGGCUUAUUUCUUGUAUUAGUUGAGUUGUUGGACUUAGUUAUCUCGUGGACUCUCACAGUUGAUGUAGUGUCCCAGGUUCUGUACUUCAUAUAUGAUGUAAAAUGAUCUAUUCUAUCAAUUGACAAAAAAACAAAAAAAUUCUGAAAAUCAAAAGAAUUCCUUUCUGGCUUUGUUUCACCAUAUCUCCUGUUAGAUGGUAGUCAUGUCCUCCCUUCCUUUGCAGUUCUCCUUAAGAAGCUUAGGGUCUAACCUCUUUCUUCAUUGCUGUCUUCUUUUUGUCUCUCGGCGUUUUACUCUUGUUGCUUUUUCUCUUCAGGAUUGUUUCUAUGGCAAAUUAUGAGUUUGGUUUGUAGAGUGCCAUCUUAAUAUAGAACAUUGCUCAUAUUUCAGCUGGAAUGUAUUGUUCAUAUUUCCAAUGCAAUGUUUUUAAAACGGGCGUGUGAGUGAAUCCGUUGACAAAGCACCAGUUUAAACUUUAAUGGCAUUAUUACUUCAUAAACCCAACGAACUAUUCGUGAACGACAGAUUAGUUGUUAAAUUAGUAGAAAAUUAAUUACCAAAAUAAAUACAAUAUUUUUACACCUAAGUUUCUAUUAAUGGAUGUAAAGGUACUUUAUUGUUUCUGUGGUUUUCAUAGCUUUUAUGCCAGGGUUGUGUUUAUAUUGCCGUUUAUCAACAACGUCAACGGUGACGUGGUGCAGAGGCAAUUAAUAGUGUGACCAUUGUUUCCUUCAUCAUCAAUUUAUGUUCAAGCCGCAGGAGCCACUAUACUCUUCUACUUCAAUUUCCUGUGGGUUUUACAACUGCUAAGUGGUGGGUGGUUCCGUUUAACCAGAAACCAUUUAAACGAAUCAACGGUCAACUAGUUAGCCAGUUUCAGACAGUUUGAUGUAGCAAACUGUUUUUAAACAAUUAUCCCUUGAUGGUGCAACCGGGUGAUCAGCUGGUCCGGUCUUGUUUGUAAGACAAUGAUCAAAUGAAGUUUCUUCCUUUUGUAAUGCUAGCCAAGUGUAUUGUACUUGUUUGUAGUGAACAACCCCUUACCUUUAGCUGCUGAGCAGAAAUGUUGGUUGGGAUUCUUGUAUUCUACUGAAGAAAGCAUUUAGGAAUGAUGGCAAGACCAAGCAGUUCUUUUUGAGAGCUUUUGACUUGACCUCUAUGGAUCGAACCUAAUAUAUGUUUUGGGCGGGGGAGAGCAUGUGAAGAUUGUAGGUGGUGAUAUUUUGUUUGGCCAACGGAGUUCUGGGAACAACUAGCUCAGAAGAACUGUUAAUACAAUAUCUAAUCCUUUUCAGGUGGAGAUCAUGUCUUUCCAGGUUUGUUGAAUGUUUUUAGCAAGUUUCUACACUUAGAUUGAAUGAAUCCCAUAGGUUUGUAAAUUCAAGGGUUUCAAGGAUGUUAAUGGUUUCUUGCUGGAAGUUGCUUACUUGUGCUAUCGUUCUGGAUUUGAUGAUUGGUUUCAUCCUCCUUCAAUAUUUCUGCUUAAGGAGAAAGCAGAAACAAUCACACUCUCCCACACACGUAUGUUCUGCACAAAAUCUACAUUUAUUUGCAUACCAACUUUUAUUUAGGCUGUAUUAGUUAACCAACAUUUAUGUGUAUACCAUCUUUUCUUUCGGGCUAUAUAGAUUCUGAGAUUUUUGGUUGUGCUCCUGUCAUCUUGUUUGAGUUUAUUUGACUUGUGCAUUUUAGUGAUUCUUUAUUGGUACCUGACCCUUGUGGCUAGAUUAAUCUGUGUUGCGUUUCUAUAGUAUUUAAAUCUUGUGGCUGGAUUAGUGUGUGCCAUUUGGUCAUUACGAAUUGGAGCGAGUUGUUGAAAGGUUACAGUGUUUCGUUCUGGCUAUUUUAACUUCUUUUUCCAUCAAAUGUCAUCAAAAUUAGAGGAUACAAGUGUCUGAUUUUGGUAUGGGUAUUGAACCCUUAUCCCACAUCCUUACCAAGCGUUAACACCAGUAGGAUAUCCAGAUCCCACAAAAGCAUAUGUUUAAGCACAUGUAGUUUAUAACUUAAUGCUUCAAAGGAAGCAGAUUAAAAGCAAAGCAAGCUCAGACAAAAUGGAUGCCCCUGGGACAUCAAGAAUCAGAGCUCGGCAUUCUCGAAGAAAUCAUCUGCAGGGACCACAAGUGAACAUCACCAGAGAUGACUGGAAGCCCUGCAGAGGUCAAAGAAGGGUCCGGCAUUGUUACUAGACUAUCAGAAGUUGGUCAUUUCAUCUUUGUGCAUAUUCCUUAUUGUGUGAAUGUUAAACUGCAGUGUGCUGUGUAAAAAAGAAGCAAAACUCAGUGCAGCACGUAAUCCAAGGUUAGUUCUUCCAUUUAGAAGAGUCCAUCUAACAUUGAUCGAAUCCUAGACUAUCGGAAGUUGGUCAUUUCAUUUUUGUGCAUAUUCGUUACUGUGUGAAUGUUAGAAGUUAGAACUGACAAACUGCAGUGUGCUGUGUAAAAAAGAAGCAAAAGUCAGUGCAGCAUGUAAUCCAUGGUUAGUUCUUUGUGUUUAGGUGAUCUAUGUCUUUCCAAUUCUAGCCGCCUUUGUACCUUCUAAGAAUAUAAUCAAGCAUUUGCGAUGCUUUUUUUUUUUUUUUUUGUAUUUUUUUGUUCUUCUCUUUUGUGCCUGCUUUAGCAGUGGUGGAUUCACCUUUGCAGUGGGCCUAAACCACAUACAGUGGUGCACCUGGUUUGAUACAGUUCCUAAAUGCAAUCACCGAGUUCACCCAAGGGAAAGAAGCUACUACACCUUCUGUUGUGGCAAAGGGAGCUCCUAUCCACAAGACAGCCUCCCUGCGUUACAUGUCUGCACCCUGAAUGCGAGGAAAUGCUCGACACUGACGGCAACAACAACACAAACAUGAUCUGCAUAUCUUUCUUUUUAUAUCAGAGCCAUUCGAACCAUCUUCCCCCACAUCAGCAUUGAAGAAGCUCCACCUUUGAAGUGCUGACUGCGUGUGUAUGGUGGUGUCACACUCGUGCACUCGGGCUACACCCUGAUGACACUGCUCGAGUUUCAUGUAUCUGUGUGCGGCAUGCAUUGUCUGGUGCCUCGUGGAUACUACGGCAACGUCUUCGCUAUCUGGCUGCAGUUUCGUUGGCGGGAAAGAUUUGCUCCUUUCAUUUUGGUACUCAAAAUGGGAGAAUUUGUAGUGUGCGCCUUCAAUUGGGAUGGUGGUCACUUUCAACUUUGUUGAAGUUUUGUCACCUCAAACCUAACUUGAGUUUCGAUUCAACGUAUACGAGUAAGAACAUGUGAAAUACUCUAAACUCUAAACAUAUUGUUGUCAAGGAUGUUGAACCGUAAACGUGAUUCGAAUGAACUUGUCAUGGUCACGGAGGAAUGUCUUUUGUUUGUCACAACUUAAAUAUGGAGCCCAGCUAUAUCAUCUUCUGAAGGUAUUCAUCAUCAAACUAGUAAUUUUGUUGACCAAAAUUUCACUUGGCAGCUAUUUUCAUGUUGUUGGAUCUGAAGUGUUUGAGAUCUUGGAUUAUUGGAGUUGAAUUGUUUCUGUUUCUUGCUUUUGUUAAAGGAUCAACUAGAUUUGCUC
This is a long non-coding RNA of Rhododendron vialii, 6621 nucleotides long. RefSeq lists it as uncharacterized. The transcript has 2 exons. NCBI's taxonomy places the organism in Eukaryota, Viridiplantae, Streptophyta, Magnoliopsida, Ericales, Ericaceae. The record is from RefSeq and is a predicted model, not a curated record.